UCUGUCUUAGUUUUGGUCAAAGUCAUUUUUCUAUCCUUCAAAGCUGGGUAAUUUGUAGGACAUUAGAUCAAGACUUUGACAACAGGCACAUGAUGGUGGAUAGACUUUUUCUGUGUUUUGAUUUUAGAAAUUUCAAUGCACUGCUUGGGGCUGUAACUUCUACCCUUUCCUUUAUGGACUAUGUAAGUAUUUUAGCAAGAAUCAUCUACUUGACUAUCAAGGAAAUCGCUAUUUCUUUUGAUGGACAAACUUAGCUAAUUUCAAAGAGUGUUAGUCAUUUUGCAAAUACCCGUGGGCAUGUCCUAGAUCACAUGGACAUAAGGCCCUGGAAAUACACUCAGCUGAUCACUGCCUCUUGGCAAUCCCAUGGAAUACUCAGCUGAAAAAGCCCCAUCUUAAGUCUUACUAAAGCUGCCAGCAGCAUCAGCUAACAGAUGAACUGUAUUAAAUCUCUCCUCCUCCUCCUCUUCCUCCUCCUCUUCUUCCUCUUGCUCCUCCUCCUCUUCCUCUUCUUUUUCUUCUUCCAUUUAUUUAUUUUAUUUUUAGGUGUACAAUGUAGUAGCCAUCCUCAGACACACCAGAAGAGGGCAUUGAAUCCCAUUACAGAUGGUUGUGAACCACCAUGUGGUUGCUGGGAACUGAACUCAGGACCCCUGCAAGAGCAGUCAGUGCUCUUACCACUGAGCCAUCUCUCCAGCCCUCUCUUUU
Molecule: long non-coding RNA, 708 nt
Filed under: Rattus norvegicus (Norway rat)
Lineage: Eukaryota; Metazoa; Chordata; Mammalia; Rodentia; Muridae
Description: long non-coding RNA NONRATT019404
Source: RNAcentral